RNAcentral lists this long non-coding RNA (326 nucleotides) under Homo sapiens (human). RNAcentral's name for it is "HSALNT0163070". Lineage: Eukaryota; Metazoa; Chordata; Mammalia; Primates; Hominidae. The record is from RNAcentral.
AGUUCAUCAACUCACAAUUAACUGAAUUAUCUGUAUGCACAUUUCAUCCGGUUCUCAGAUAUCGUCACUUGUUCACCACAGUAGAAGACUCAGAAAUACCCAUGGCAACACACUGGAGAUCCUCACUGCCUCAAGGGCAGAGCUGGUUUGAACACGGCCUUUCCAUUGCUUCACUGCCCGCCAUUCACCCUCAAGGUCCAUUCUGUGCCAAGGCAUUGCAUGUUCUCAAGGCAAUGACCCUGGAGAAUGAAUAGCCAUGUGUGGCAGUAUAAGUGCUUGGAAGGUGACUUAGCCCAUUUGAACAAUAAAACUGUCUUUUAAACAGG